This 225-nucleotide ribosomal RNA is filed under the name Candidatus Gallipaludibacter merdavium. RNAcentral's name for it is "partial 23S ribosomal RNA". It matches the Rfam family "Bacterial large subunit ribosomal RNA", at positions 2684 to 2925 of the family's 2925-position model. The record is from RNAcentral. Lineage: Bacteria; Pseudomonadati; Bacteroidota; Bacteroidia; Bacteroidales.
CGAGAGGACCGUGUUGGACGAACCUCUGGUCCGCGGGUUGUACCGCCCGGUGCACCGCCCGGUAGCCAAGUUCGGUUCGGAUAAGCGCUGAAAGCAUCUAAGCGCGAAGCCAUCUCCAAGAUUAGAUCUCCACAGAGGGUCGUCAUAGACGAUGACGUUGAUAGGGCGCAGGUGUACAACGGUGACGUAAAGCCGAGCGCUACUAAUAGCCCGAGCCUUUCCUUU